CCAGUCCCCAUAGGCCAUGCACCACCUAUUCCUCCAGGACUUUUGCGUUGUGGGCUUGUGUCCAAUAAAAUAGCCCCUCUCCCUCGCCUUUCGGCAAUUAGCCUGUACCCAGCCAAAAUUCCCCUGCUGCUUCAAAAUGGAGGAUAGGUACAUGAACUGCUCAAACGUUGGCUCCCCCAACCCAGCCAACCACCAAGCAAUAUACACCCCAUGCAGAAGAAUCCAGAAGUUGGGAUUAUAUUGCCCCGACGCAUACCCCAACUUAGCCAACAUCAUCUGCACCCACGGAUGAAAGGGUAGUCUGAAGCCGUGCCGAUACAUAUCUGUGAAAAUCAUCACGGAGCCAUCCGAGGGAUACCUGACUACAUCAGCCUCAGUGGGUAACCUCAAGCCCACAUAGGCUGGCACACUAAAAUCUGUCCGCAGCUGGGCCAAUUUUGCUUCUGUAAGCGUAUUCCGCCUCGGCAACGGGACACCGACCCGAAUGUCCAAACCCUCUGAAACCGAAGCCACGGCUAUACCCACAGACCCUGAUGGUGAUGCCUGGUUGCUCGAACCCACCUCUUGCGUUUGAGGCAAGGCUAGAACCCGGUUUGCUAUGGCCUCUAACUCUAUAUAAUUUCUCUGCAUCUCCCUAUAUGCAGCUGACCCAGAGUCUUCGGAUGGCUCACCCCUCUCACCCCCAGGCCCUAUCAUCCUACUUUCUAUAGUGCCUUCUACCAGACCCUCUGUCUCUGAACUCUCCUCUUCAGAACAUAUAUAUUGGCUGGGCUCUUCACUCUCAGUAUCAUC
RNAcentral lists this long non-coding RNA (792 nucleotides) under Prunus dulcis (almond). Its description in RNAcentral is "sRNA ncRNA". Lineage: Eukaryota; Viridiplantae; Streptophyta; Magnoliopsida; Rosales; Rosaceae. The record is from RNAcentral.